GGGUGACUAGCUCAGUGGAAGAGCGCUUCCUUCACUCGGAAGAGGUCACAGGUUCGAACCCUGUGUCGCCCACCA
RNAcentral lists this transfer RNA (75 nucleotides) under Aminobacterium sp. Its description in RNAcentral is "tRNA-Val". It matches the Rfam family "tRNA". Rfam says of the family: Transfer RNA (tRNA) molecules are approximately 80 nucleotides in length. The record is from RNAcentral. Lineage: Bacteria; Thermotogati; Synergistota; Synergistia; Synergistales; Aminobacteriaceae. RNAcentral also lists the same sequence under 1 other name.